This 360-nucleotide long non-coding RNA is filed under the name Homo sapiens (human). RNAcentral describes it as "HSALNT0316203". Lineage: Eukaryota; Metazoa; Chordata; Mammalia; Primates; Hominidae. The record is from RNAcentral.
GUUGUUCAUCAAAGAUUUAUUGAGCGCUUAUAAGAGGCACCAUGUCAGGCAUUGGGGUCACAGAGGUGAGGCUGACGUGACCCCCACAUCAAGGGUCCUAGUCUUGUGAGGGAGUCAGACCUACCUGCAGACAAUUACCAUGUCAUGUGUGGAGUGCAGUGUGAGACCCGAGGAACGACCCCUAAAUCCUCCUGAGAAAGGAGUUAGGAAAGGCUCCUGGAGGAGGCUGGCAAAGAAAUACAAGAACAGUGAAAAGCACUCUAAGGAGAAGGAAGGGUGUUCGGAAAAAAAGACCUUCGAUGAUGCAGCUCUGCUGCUGCUCUCCGCAGCCCCUAAAAGUAGCAUGGAUCGGGGAAGAAG